RNAcentral lists this ribosomal RNA (253 nucleotides) under uncultured bacterium. RNAcentral describes it as "partial 16S ribosomal RNA". It matches the Rfam family "Bacterial small subunit ribosomal RNA", at positions 524 to 776 of the family's 1533-position model. The record is from RNAcentral.
UACGUAGGGGGCGAGCGUUGUCCGGAUUCAUUGGGCGUAAAGCGCUCGUAGGCGGCUUCUCAAGUCGGCCGUGAAAUCUCCGGGCUCAACUCGGAGGGGUCGGGCGAGACUGCGAGGCUCGAGGUGGGCAGAGGGCAGUGGAAUUCCGGGUGUAGUGGUGGAAUGCGUAGAGAUCCGGAGGAACACCAGUGGCGAAGGCGGCUGCCUGGGCCUGGCCUGACGCUGAGGCGCGAAAGCCAGGGGAGCGAACGGG